This 1396-nucleotide long non-coding RNA is filed under the name Bos indicus x Bos taurus (hybrid cattle). Its description in RNAcentral is "lncRNA (ENSBIXG00005007620.1)". Lineage: Eukaryota; Metazoa; Chordata; Mammalia; Artiodactyla; Bovidae. The record is from RNAcentral.
UCCUAUAACUGGGCUCCCCUGGUGGCUCAUUAGUUUAAAAAUCCACUGAUCAAUGUCAGAGUAAUGAAUUUGAUCCCUAAGUCAGGAAGAUCCCCUGGAGGAGGAAAUGGCAACUCACCCCACUAUUCUUGCCUGGGAAAACCUAUGGACAGAGGAGCAUGGAAGGCUACAAUCCUUGGGGUCACAAAGAGUCAGGCAUGACUUAGUGACUGAACAACAGAAACACCCUGUAACCAGGAAUGAUGGAUAAUGGAUGCUUUGGGAAGAUGAGAGAAGAAGGUGUGAGAAAGCAUGUAGCAGAAACAUAAAGGAUUGGAAAGCUUCAUUCAUAUCAUGGAUGGAUAAUUUCUGCUGUUUAGUAAUAAAAUCUCAGGAAUUUAAAGAUAUUUAACAGGACACUUUAUGAUUUUGUGAAAACAAACACACAAUACACCUACUAAUAUGCCUAGUAACUGUACAAAAGAUAUUUGUUGACUGAGUGAACUAGUAAUAGGUACCUAUUGUAAGUAAUAGAUUUUAUGUAUUUGGUGUUUAUUAGUUGAUAUAUAAUUUAUAUAAAAUUUAUGUUUCUCAUAGAUAUUUAUGAUAAACAGAGCUAGAGGACAUCAGCACUUGAAUUCCUGGUAAGUUUAUGGUCUGGGGAAGCAGGACUAAUCUUAGCCAUGGAACAUGGCAAUUCACCAAGAAUCUCUUGUCACCUGAUGUGUUUCAGGCACUGUAGACAAUAUGCCAGGCACAGUGAGGAAACACACCUGAAUAGCUUAUGUAUUCCUGUACAUAAGUACCAGGAGUUACCAGGAAUCAUCAGCUUUCUGAUGAAAGGACUGGAAACAUUUAAACCAAACUUUCAAUUUUGAUACUCAACAUGUAUGCAGCAUAUUAGUGUUAUCAAGGAAUCCAUCAUAAAAAUACACCAAAGAUAUCUGGCGUUUGGUGAGUUGAUUCAACCUAGGAUCAUCCUUUCACUCUGAUCUGAGGGAUAUGGAAUCCAGAUGGUUUUUGUCAGAGGAAACCUACAUGAGCUGAAAACAGCAAUAUACAGGCUAAAUUCUACUUUUAUUAGUCCCAGGACCAUCGUGCAUGUGCAGAAAUUUCCUAUUAUAUUUUUCUUUAUGUAUUAAAAGUGUUUAAUCUUUCCCAGGUUAAUUCUGCUGUUAUCAGGUGACUGCCAUAAUCCAACCAAUGAUUUGUUUAGUUCUUUUUUUUUUUUUUUUCUGAUUUCCUUCUAUGUAGCCGGUGUUUUCAUAGAAUUGUAUUCUAUCUUAGGGAUAUUUAAUGCUCUAAGCAUCACAUUCAUUUAGGAAUCAUUUAUAUAUAAUACUACUAUUGAUAAAUACUAUUCUUUCUUAUUUUCCAGGUAAAUAAACUAAAAUUCUAAAGGAUAAAGCUAAUUUCC